RNAcentral lists this ribosomal RNA (253 nucleotides) under uncultured bacterium. RNAcentral's name for it is "partial 16S ribosomal RNA". It matches the Rfam family "Bacterial small subunit ribosomal RNA", at positions 524 to 776 of the family's 1533-position model. The record is from RNAcentral.
UACGUAGGGUGCGAGCGUUGUCCGGAAUUAUUGGGCGUAAAGAGCUUGUAGGCGGUUUGUCGCGUCUGCCGUGAAAAUCCGGGGCUCAACCCCGGACUUGCGGUGGGUACGGGCAGACUAGAGUGUGGUAGGGGAGACUGGAAUUCCUGGUGUAGCGGUGAAAUGCGCAGAUAUCAGGAGGAACACCGGUGGCGAAGGCGGGUCUCUGGGCUACUACUGACGCUGAGAAGCGAAAGCUUGGGGAGCGAACAGG